CCCGGAGGGAAACGGGUGGAUCCUCGAAGUCCGAGCGGAGCGGGAUUCAGUGGCGGGCGGCGGGGCGCCCCCUCCGGUCCGUGCCCGGUGGUCGGGACGUUCCGGGGGGGCGAUCCCCCCGUCAGCCGCGCACUUCUCGCUCCCGACGGACGCCGCAGCCGGUCUGGCGUCGGCAGUGAGGACUGGUCGGGCGAUGGCGCGGGCGGGGGUCCUGGCACCCCCGUCCCGAUUCUGUACCGACCGCGUUCCCGGUGCGACGCCGGUCCGAGGGAAGGGUCCGCUUCGGCGGACGCGCCGUGGUCUCGCGUCGAGAGGCGCGAGCGGGAGAGUGGUCCGGUCGCCGCCGGCCGAGUCGUUCACUCGAGAUCGUGUUCGACCGGCGAAGGUGCUCCGGCGGGCCGCGACUGUCCCGCCGCGCGGGAGCGACGGCUUGCGGCGAGUAGGUCGGUAACCCACCCGACCCGUCUUGAAACACGGACCAAGGAGUCUAACUUGUGCGCGAGUCAGUGGGACUCGAAAAAGCCCACGGGCGUAAUGAAGGUGACAUGGACGCUAGCGUCCGUCGCGAUCCCGCGUCCCCGACGGGGCCGGGCGCAGCGACGACCCGACGGGACGGCGGUUCUUCCGCCU
This 630-nucleotide ribosomal RNA is filed under the name Panjange camiguin. Its description in RNAcentral is "partial 28S ribosomal RNA". The record is from RNAcentral. Lineage: Eukaryota; Metazoa; Arthropoda; Arachnida; Araneae; Pholcidae.